CUGGUGUGAAAUACUACCACAAGUUUAGAGGCUUAAACUAGCAAAAUUUAUUACCUUAUAAUUCUGGAGGUCAGAAGUCCAAAAUGAGUCUCCCACAGAUAAAAUCAGGGUGUUGACAGGACUAUAUAAUAUCACCCUGACACUGCAUGUUUACCUCUUUUACAUUUAAAGGACCUUGUGAUUACAUUGGGCCCACCCAAAUAACCCAGAAUAAUCUUUUUAUUUUAAAGUGACCUUAUUAGCAACCUUAAUUUCACAUGUAGCCUUAAUUAUCCUUUUUCAUUGUAGCGCAACAUAUUCACAGCUGAGAAAGGGACUUUUAGGAUACAGACAACUUUGGAGGGCCAUUAUUCUGCCUGCCACAGAGAUAUCAUCCAUAAGUGACUCGUCUCUAAAAAUUAAAGGAUAUGGCUGCUGUCCUUAAAAUCUUUCAAGCUGGCUGAGGAAUAAGAUUAUUGCUGGACAAUUUAUAAGUGAGCCCUCCUGAUACUAUUUUUUAAUGAAGAUGCCACAUACGCAAAUCCUAUUUUAUAAUGUGGAUAAAAGAAGAAGUGGUAAACUGUAUUAUAAAAUGAGUCUUCACUUUACAAAAAGCUUUAUCUAAGAUUCUUCAUGCAAUGAUUUUCUACAUGGUCAUUUUUUGUUUGCACUCAGAUAAAUAAACAGCUGCAGUCAAGGGCUGAGAGGCAUAGAUAAUUACAUGCAGGAUAUACGUUAUAUAAUCCAUCCAAAAUGAAGAUAAGGCAAUCUGAAAUGAGAGGUUUUUGUCUCCCGAGACAAUAAUUUGUACAGGAAAAUAAACAUUUUUUGGUUGUUUCCUGGAAUAUAUCUAAUUGUGAAAAUAAAACACACUUGCCAAUGAUAUGAAUAUCAUUUCACAGUAUGACAACAAAUGCUCCAUCUAAACUACUUAGGGAAUCCCUAACUGAUCCCCUGCCCCACCCCCC
RNAcentral lists this long non-coding RNA (947 nucleotides) under Pan troglodytes (chimpanzee). RNAcentral's name for it is "lncRNA (ENSPTRG00000054340.1)". The record is from RNAcentral. Lineage: Eukaryota; Metazoa; Chordata; Mammalia; Primates; Hominidae.